GCCCAGGUGGUGGAAUUGGUAGACACGCUACUUUGAGGGGGUAGUGGCCGAUAGGCCGUGCAAGUUCGACUCUUGUCCUGGGCA
This 84-nucleotide transfer RNA is filed under the name Bacteroidota bacterium. RNAcentral's name for it is "Bacteroidetes bacterium tRNA-Leu". It matches the Rfam family "tRNA". From Rfam's summary of the family: Transfer RNA (tRNA) molecules are approximately 80 nucleotides in length. RNAcentral also lists the same sequence under 1 other name. The record is from RNAcentral. Lineage: Bacteria; Pseudomonadati; Bacteroidota.